UAAAGGAAGCGAUUCCGGCUACGGAUGGUCAUGCGUCGCAUUAGCUAGUUGGCGGGGUAACGGCCCACCAAGGCGACGAUGCGUAGGGGUUCUGAGAGGAAGGUCCCCCACACUGGUACUGAGACACGGACCAGACUCCUACGGGAGGCAGCAGUGAGGAAUAUUGGUCAAUGGCCGCAGGGCUGAACCAGCCAAGUCGCGUGAGGGAUGACGGUCCUAUGGAUUGUAAACCUCUUUUGUCAGGGAGCAAAGGACGCCACGUGUGGCGUUUUGCGAGUACCUGAAGAAAAAGCAUCGGCUAACUCCGUGCCAGCAGCCGCGGUAAUACGGAGGAUGCGAGCGUUAUCCGGAUUUAUUGGGUUUAAAGGGUGCGCAGGCGGAAUGUCAAGUCAGCGGUAAAAUUUCGGGGCUCAACCCCGUCGUGCCGUUGAAACUGGCGUUCUUGAGUGAGCGAGAAGUAUGCGGAAUGCGUGGUGUAGCGGUGAAAUGCAUAGAUAUCACGCAGAACUCCGAUUGCGAAGGCAGCAUACCGGCGCUCAACUGACGCUCAUGCACGAAAGCGUGGGUAUCGAACAGGAUUAGAUACCCUGGUAGUCCACGCAGU
This 604-nucleotide ribosomal RNA is filed under the name uncultured bacterium. RNAcentral's name for it is "bacterial SSU rRNA". It matches the Rfam family "Bacterial small subunit ribosomal RNA", at positions 202 to 803 of the family's 1533-position model. The record is from RNAcentral.